GUAGGUGGCAAGCGUUGUCCGGAAUUAUUGGGCGUAAAGCGCGCGCAGGCGGUUCUUUAAGUCUGAUGUGAAAGCCCACGGGCUCAACCGUGGAGGGUCAUUGGAAACUGGAGAACUUGAGUACAGAAGAGGAAAGCGGAAUUCCACGUGUAGCGGUGAAAUGCGUAGAGAUGUGGAGGAACACCAGUGGCGAAGGCGGCUUUCUGGUCUGUAACUGACGCUGAGGCGCGAAAGCGUGGGGAGCAAACAGGAUUAGAUACCCUGGUAGUCCACGCCGUAAACGAUGAGUGCUAAGUGUUAGGGGGGUUUCCGCCCCCUUAGUGCUGCAGCUAACGCAUUAAGCACUCCGCCUGGGGAGUACGGCCGCAAGGCUG
RNAcentral lists this ribosomal RNA (374 nucleotides) under uncultured organism. RNAcentral describes it as "partial 16S ribosomal RNA". It matches the Rfam family "Bacterial small subunit ribosomal RNA", at positions 527 to 896 of the family's 1533-position model. The record is from RNAcentral.